GCAGAGCAGCCCCAGCAGAGCAGCCCCAGCAGAGCACUGCGGGGGGACGUGUGGCACAGGGGGCACUGCCAGCCCCGGGGUCAGCAGUGCACAAACGGGGCUGCUCCUCCGUAAGUACUCUGCACCAGAAGCUUUAUGAGAAUAAAAUGAAGCAAAGCACACUGAAGCUGCCUGGUGUGACCCUCACUGCUGAGCCAAAGCCGUGCUGGCACAGCACCUUCACCCAGCGCGGCACACAACACAGCCCACAGUGCCCCUCAGAACUGCACCGCCUCACACAGUAACCAUAAAGAACACUUCUAACAUUAUCUCUAAGCUUUCCCUAUGGAUUUGCCAAUAGGACACAGUUGCAGUAUAUUACUUAACUCAUAAAUCCUAAUUGUUAAUAAUUGAGGUAAUCAGCUUUUACAAGAUUACUGCGUUAUACGUGCUUAUUAAAUAUGAUGCAACUGCAAAGAUAAUUCCUGUUUCUGAAGGGCCACCUCAGCACUUGGUUUCAUAGUGUUAAAGAAAUAGGCUCCUGCACUAAAACUGAAGCUGUAAUGAAAGUAGAAUCGACUAUAUCAUUUAAAAGAAGGAAACUGAAACGCAAUUAUCAACACCUCAUACUCAGUAUAAGAGCAGUACAAACGAACUGAGCUGAACGUGCCCACCCGCAGGGCUCCUCCCAGAUGGCACACAGGUGCUUCUGCCCAGCACAGCACCCAGCUGUGUCCGUGGGGCCACCAGGUCAGCCCUGUUAACAGCUGUGAACACCUGGGGCAAACUAAGUCAACCCCCAAUUGGCAUAAUGAAUUUGCACCAAACCAGAAAGUGUUUCUGGGCCCGGCUGCCACCCAAUGUGCAAUGACCCCCAUCAUAGGUGCUACCGGGCAGAUGAGCACAAGGCACACAGUGGUGAAUGUGGAUAUUUCCUGAGAAUCCACCAAGGAAAAUGAAAGGUUAUUCGUCCCUCCCUACACACAAAGCAAGACUGUGCUUCUGAGCAUCACCACCUCUCCCCCAGACCUCAGCGCACCGCUAACUGAGCGAGCUGGGAUGGCUGCUGCACAUGGCCAGACCAGAGCAGCCCUUCCUGUGCUCAGUACUCACAUGUACCUCUAAGGCCUCAAGGGAAAUAUAUAUCCAAAAGUCUGACAGUGGUUGGAGCCUUCGCCUUCACAGGGCUGGUCCUGUGCUACCGAAUCACAAAGCAGGGCACACAGCUGCUGCCAUGUUGUCCUUACUCCCCAUAUUCUUCUGAUACCACGCUGUCCCACAACAGCAGCAGGGAGACAGAGGACACCACCAACACAAAGGACUGGAUGCAGCCCGGCCACUUGUGAGAUCCUUUGCUGUUGUUUUCCCCUCUCUGCAGGGAUGUGAACCCAGCCAAGGCAGCGGUGCCUGUCGCCCACGAGCAGGAGGGCUGUGCUGGAGAGGCUGCUCCAGCAGCACAGGCACCUGCACUCACAGGACAGGACACAGCCUUCCUCCCAUGUCCCCCCCUUCAGCACAACUACAGACAGUUCUUUUAUUCUGAACAAUGCUCAGCUCAACUGUAACCAUAAAUCAAUCAGCAGAAGCAUUAAUUUAAAAGCCUUCAGGAGAAAAAAAAAAAGACUGCACAGUAGGAAAAAAGGGUCUGCUAACACUGCCAUGCUGAGUGCCUUGGUUUUAGCCCCUGCAUAUGAAUAAAGUUCCAUUGCAGAUUUCUUCUCUCUCCAUCCCUCGCCUCCAAUCAGCUCCCAACAACAGCCAGUUGUGAGCACUGUCUAAAAGCAACAGCCUGCGAGUCACUCCAAUGCCAUCAAUGUGCCUCUGGGGUCCUUCAGAU
Long non-coding RNA from Gallus gallus (chicken), 1816 nucleotides. The record is from Ensembl. NCBI's taxonomy places the organism in Eukaryota, Metazoa, Chordata, Aves, Galliformes, Phasianidae.